UACGUAGGGAGCGAGCGUUGUCCGGAUUUAUUGGGCGUAAAGAGCGCGCAGGCGGUCGUUCAAGUCGCGUGUGAAAGCCCCCGGCUCAACUGGGGAGGGUCACGCGAUACUGAUCGACUCGAAGGCAGGAGAGGGUAGUGGAAUUCCCGGUGUAGUGGUGAAAUGCGUAGAUAUCGGGAGGAACACCAGUGGCGAAGGCGGUUCUCUGGGCAUUACCUGACGCUGAGGAGCGAAAGCAUGGGGAGCGAACAGG
This 253-nucleotide ribosomal RNA is filed under the name uncultured bacterium. RNAcentral describes it as "partial 16S ribosomal RNA". It matches the Rfam family "Bacterial small subunit ribosomal RNA", at positions 524 to 776 of the family's 1533-position model. The record is from RNAcentral.